RNAcentral lists this long non-coding RNA (321 nucleotides) under Panax ginseng (ginseng). RNAcentral describes it as "long non-coding RNA (PGIN_LNC014923)". Lineage: Eukaryota; Viridiplantae; Streptophyta; Magnoliopsida; Apiales; Araliaceae. The record is from RNAcentral.
AUUUGGAAAGUUUCGCCAGUGAGCAUGCUCAUUCAAUUCAGUAGCUGCAAUCAUAAUUCCAAGAAUCUGAUGAUAAUUUAAAGAAUAAUUUGGAGGAAAGGAUGGAUAAGAAAUUUGAGCAAAUGAUGAAAGGAAUUGAAGCUCUCAUCUCAGUUCGAAAACCAAAUGCACAAAUUACUUCAGGUACUUCAAAUAGCCAAAUAGGAUCAAUUUUGGGUUCAUAUGAGAAUGGAUCUGCUACUGAAAAAAAUAGUAACAGUAUAUUCAAAACAAUCAAGUAUGAAUUUCGUAAAUUUGAUGGAUCAAAUCCAAGAGCAUGGA